Callorhinchus milii (elephant shark) is the source of this 239-nucleotide long non-coding RNA. RefSeq lists it as uncharacterized. The record is from RefSeq and is a predicted model, not a curated record. The transcript has 4 exons. NCBI's taxonomy places the organism in Eukaryota, Metazoa, Chordata, Chondrichthyes, Chimaeriformes, Callorhinchidae.
UGUGCAGUGGGGGUGGCUGUUUUGGUGCUUUUGGUAUACUUUGGGAAUCGAUCCAAAUUAAUGAAAAUGAAAGGGGUACACAGGAAACAGAAUGAUUUGGACCAUCAGAGCCAACAGGAAGUGCAUGGAGGAGAUGCUGAGAGGGUCACUUAUAUCACACUGGAUUUGAAAAGUUCCAAUAAACUUUCAAGACCGAAACAUCAGGAAGACAGGACAGUGUACGCCAAGAUCAAGCAAAA